UACGUAGGCAGCAAGCGUUGUUCGGAGUUACUGGGCGUAAAGGGUGUGUAGGCGGUUAUUUAAGUUUGGUGUGAAAUCUCCCGGCUCAACCGGGAGGGUGCGCCGAAUACUGAAUGACUUGGAGUGCGGGAGAGGAAAGUGGAAUUCCUGGUGUAGCGGUGAAAUGCGUAGAUAUCAGGAGGAACACCGGUGGUGUAGACGGCUUUCUGGACCGUAACUGACGCUGAGGCGCGAAAGCUAGGGGAGCAAACGGG
Molecule: ribosomal RNA, 254 nt
Filed under: uncultured bacterium
Lineage: Bacteria
Description: partial 16S ribosomal RNA
Rfam family: Bacterial small subunit ribosomal RNA
Source: RNAcentral